Molecule: ribosomal RNA, 253 nt
Filed under: uncultured bacterium
Lineage: Bacteria
Description: partial 16S ribosomal RNA
Rfam family: Bacterial small subunit ribosomal RNA
Source: RNAcentral
GACAGAGGGGGCAAGCGUUGCUCGGAAUUACUGGGCGUAAAGGGCGCGUAGGCGGGAUGGCAAGUCGGUCGUGAAAUCCCUCGGCUCAACCGAGGAACGUCGAUCGAUACUGCUGUUCUUGAGGAUUGCAGAGGAGACUGGAAUUCCCGGUGUAGCGGUGAAAUGCGUAGAUAUCAGGAGGAACACCGGUGGCGAAGGCGGCUUUCUGGACAGUAACUGACGCUGAGGCGCGAAAGCUAGGGGAGCAAACAGG